AUGGUGAGGACCGCACGGGCAGGCAUGCCCCCCCACCCCACGGAGGCCUUCCUGGACAGCUGCUCCAUCUGUGAAGGCUCCUUCCCAGACCCCUCCAGGGCUUGCAUUUCCUUCCUGCGGGAGGGGAUGCUGAGAAGGUCCGUGUCAUCUGCCCUUGACGCCUUACUAGAGCUGCAUGCCCCGGGAAGUUCAGCAGACGAACUUCUCCUGGACCCACAGGAGCACACUGAGCCCAGGGAGGCAGAGCCCCAAGUGAGGAGGACUGGGGUAUGGUUCUGUGGGCACGUGGGAGGGCAUGGACUUUGGGCACAGAGAGAGCUUCCCGAUCUAGGAGACCCAGGAACAAGGAGACACCGCGUCCAGGGGGAGGAUGCAGUCUGGGAAGACUCCCUGGGGGUGGGUUUGUGCACAGACCUCUCUCUGACAGGCAGUGGGGAGGUUUUGCCCUGGGUAGGACCCUUGCUGAUGUGUCUUUCUCUUGCAACUGUGGGGCCAGCUUUAGCCCAACCUGAAGUCCCACCUGUAGAGUGUGUGCCAGCUCCACCUGUAGCUCCCUCAUCAGCUAUGGCACCACAGCCAGAGCCACGGCCAGGAGCCCCUUCUCCACCAGCUGCACAGCUGGGGGUCCCUACAGAUGCACAAUGGGCAUCAGCUCCUGAGCUCCAGCUGGGCCAAACUCCUGCCCCACCCCUGCCAUUCCCGUCCAUUACUGUUGGUCAUGUUUUGGCAUAUAUAUUUGCUCUUGUUUUCUGGAUUUAUGUAAACAGUAGAAUUCUUUUUCAAUAAAAGUUAAGAUUUUAGUCUUGUUUAAAGCAACCAGCUUGGUGGCAUGAAGUGCCUUCUCAGUAUUGUGCCACUGUCAUUGCUGGUGCCGGUCCUGAGCAUUUUCCUCAUUCUGCACAUGUGAGUGGUUCUUCCCCUCUCGCCUGCUGCUUCUGCCAGGCCACGACUCAGCUGACAUCCCUGGAGAUGGCCGAGUCUACAUUUUUCCCACCUCUGCAAUCAGAUUUCUCUUUGGCCACAGAAUCCCGAAAGAGACUACGAAUUAUUUUUUAUACAGUGGAAAUUCGUACAAAGAUGCUAUCUAUGUUUCUUUCUCUUGUUCAGUUAUUCUCCAGCUUUUUAGAAUAAUACAAGAAUUUGUUUACUCCAGUAAAACAAGAAAUGCCAUAGGAAUGAGUAAGGAGACACGGUCAGAGUCACCUGUGAGCAUGCACUGAGGCCUCCCCUGAGGCGCUCCUCCUGUCUGUCUUCUUCCUAGGGUUCAAGCUUGUGUGUCUUUGCUGCUGGUGGCGAGUGUGUCAGGACACAGGUCUUCUGUCAUGUCAUGGACCCACUUUGCACAUUCAGUGGCCUCCACAUGUGACACAGUUGUCUGAGCACCCUCUGCUCUGGACAGUUUACAAAUCAGUAAAGAUUUUUUCAGGACUGGGGAUGGAACCUAGUAUCUGCUCACUGAACCCGAUCACCGGCCCAUUUCAUUUUUGUUUUUAAGGAUGUUAUAAAGUCUCAGUGUUAAGUAGCUCUGUUUUCUAUCCAGGGGUUGAACGCGUGACCUUCUUGCCUCUUCCUGCCAACUUACUGGGAUCACAGAGCUAUAGCACCUCACCUGGCUUUUUUGAUCAGAUUUGAAAAACAAAGCAGAAAUCUACCUCUAGGCCUGGGUGUCCACCUUAGAGCUUGGGUGCUUUUGGGAUCCUUGUCGAGGGGUGUGGACUCCACCAGAGGGGGGAUUCUCCCUGAGAUGCCACAAACUCUGUGCUCUUGCACCAGGCGAGUGAGCAUAAUUCCAGGGCUGCCCAGCCUAGGUGGUCACCAUGGGCUCUGCACUGAGCUCCCUCACACACUGCCCUGAUGUGCAGAGACUCCACAUAUUUUCCCACCUUUGCAGCAAGGUGAGCUUUGCAGUGAGGCAGCACAAGCCCUUCUCAGGAAGACCUGUCCUCCUCUAGCUCCAAGAAUCCUUCCUGAGGAGUAGGAGCUGCAGACAGCCCCAUGCCCGUCUGUGCCAUGACACAGGAACUAGUUUCUCAGUCUCCAUGCAUGGUCGUCAGCUCACGACCUGCUCCGUGCUGUCAUAGGCUCCCCGUGUGACUACACAUACUCCCUUGUCCUUCGCAGAUGCUGCUAGGCUCUUACACUGUGCACUGCUACCCCCUGCAUUUGCCAUAAAAGGGAUCAUCCAGGGUGGCAAUACCUGGUACAGGGAAUGUGUUCUCCAUAGAAGCCACUUGGAGAAAAAUCUAUGGGUUGUUGUUUGUACCUUAAUACACCAGCUAGGGCAUUCUACCCUUAUUCAGUAUACCAGUUUAGCCGUGAAUGUAAUCAUUCUGGCUUGUGAACAUGUACUAAUAAAAUUAUAAUAAAUUACAAACAAAAUAAAAAGGGGAAUGAAUUUUUGACAAACAGAUAAAAAUACAGCAGCCAAGUGAAGAAAAAUGUGUAGAGACUUGAGACCCUCUGACUGGCGGGAAAGUGUCCUUCAGGCAGACGCAAGCCUCAUGAGUAACAUGGCAGCUCUCGUGAAGCGAAGACCAUCUUAAUGGCAUUACUGUUGCCCUUCUUGGUAAAAUCGGAAUGCGCAUUUCCAGAGUAGAACUUUGGUCCGUAUACAACACAUGGCAAACUUGCUAUGUGCUGAUUGUCCAAGAUACCCACAGGCAGCUCACCUUCGGAGGAGAUGAGUCAACCCCACAUUCCCAGUACCUGGUGAUGACGGAGUCAUGGAACAACAUGAAACUCAAACUCAGGCAAACCUUCUCAAGGAGUCCUCAUUCUCCCCCUAUCCCGACUUUGUACAUCUUCUCAGGACCCUGCCUAUAUUAGUUUGGAUUCACAACUGAUUGGAUAUUGCAGAAGGAAUGACUAGUGUUCUCUAAUAUACAGCCAAAGAGCUGGACAUGGUGGCACAGACCUAUGAAGGCUGAGUCAAGACGAUGACUAUGAAUUCAGGGCCAGCCUGGGCUACAAGGUGAGUUCAAGGUCAGCCUAAACUAUGUUAUGACACCUUGUUAAACUUAGUUAUAAAAUGGGGAUAAUAAUUGAGUUCUACUCCCAGGAGGCUUUUGAAAACGUUUGUUGGUCUGAUCUUGAAAGGAGCUUCCUAAACUCUUUCCUCCUUGAGCAGUAGAUCCGCGUGUUGUCCUGGUCUACUCAUACGGACCUGAUACCAGGCCCAUGAAAGGGAGGCAUUUCCUACAGAGCUGUAUGCUUUUCAGAUAGUGAAGGGGUAGGUGGAAACUUUCUUUCCAAUGAGGUUCUAAACGUUAAUGUUUGCCGUUUCCUGAGCUACUUUGUGCAGUUGAAACUGAGUUUUUCAAUAUUUCCUGGGCUACCGAUAAUAUUCACUCAGAAAAUACUCAUCUGUCUCCCAUGAUGUGGUCCAGAAGCCGUGGGAGACAUAUAGACCCAGGCAUGACUCUCUGGGAGCUUGUAACAUUACAGAAGGGUGAAUUAUGGAAACAGUGAAAGCUUCCCAAAGGAGAUUUCUGGGUUUGCUCAGUUUUGCUGAAGAUCAUCUUGUUUGUUCACCUGCUCUUUAGUUCUGGCUGAUAGUAC
Fukomys damarensis (Damara mole-rat) is the source of this 3558-nucleotide long non-coding RNA. Lineage: Eukaryota; Metazoa; Chordata; Mammalia; Rodentia; Bathyergidae. The record is from Ensembl.